This 175-nucleotide ribosomal RNA is filed under the name uncultured bacterium. RNAcentral's name for it is "partial 16S ribosomal RNA". It matches the Rfam family "Bacterial small subunit ribosomal RNA", at positions 1318 to 1500 of the family's 1533-position model. The record is from RNAcentral.
CCGUGAAGCUGGAUUCGCUAGUAAUCGCGCAUCAGCCAUGGCGCGGUGAAUACGUUCCCGGGCCUUGUACACACCGCCCGUCAAGCCAUGGAAGCCGGGGGCGCUUGAAGUGCGUUGCCGCAAGGCGCGCCCUAGAGCGAAACCGGUGACUGGGGCUAAGUCGUAACAAGGUACC